This 638-nucleotide ribosomal RNA is filed under the name uncultured bacterium. Its description in RNAcentral is "bacterial SSU rRNA". It matches the Rfam family "Bacterial small subunit ribosomal RNA", at positions 158 to 774 of the family's 1533-position model. The record is from RNAcentral.
AGGUGCUAAUACCGGAUAAGAAAGCAGAUCGCAUGAUCAGCUUUUAAAAGGCGGCGUAAGCUGUCGCUAUGGGAUGGCCCCGCGGUGCAUUAGCUAGUUGGUAAGGUAAAGGCUUACCAAGGCGAUGAUGCAUAGCCGAGUUGAGAGACUGAUCGGCCACAUUGGGACUGAGACACGGCCCAAACUCCUACGGGAGGCAGCAGUAGGGAAUCUUCCACAAUGGACGCAAGUCUGAUGGAGCAACGCCGCGUGAGUGAAGAAGGUUUUCGGAUCGUAAAGCUCUGUUGUUGGUGAAGAAGGAUAGAGGUAGUAACUGGCCUUUAUUUGACGGUAAUCAACCAGAAAGUCACGGCUAACUACGUGCCAGCAGCCGCGGUAAUACGUAGGUGGCAAGCGUUGUCCGGAUUUAUUGGGCGUAAAGCGAGCGCAGGCAGAAGAAUAAGUCUGAUGUGAAAGCCCUCGGCUUAACCGAGGAACUGCAUCGGAAACUGUUUUUCUUGAGUGCAGAAGAGGAGAGUGGAAACUCCAUGUGUAGCGGUUGGAAUGCGUAAGAUAUAUGGAAGAACACCCAGUGGGCGAAAGGCGGCUCCUCUGGUCUGCAACUGAACGCUGAAGCUCGAAAGCAUGGGUAACGAACA